CAGUAGCCGCGGGAAUACGAAGGGGGCUAGCGUUGUUCGGAAUUACUGGGCGUAAAGGGCGCGUAGGCGGCCAUUCAAGUUAGAUGUGAAAGCCCUGGGCUCAACCUAGGAAUUGCAUUUGAUACUGUUUGGCUUGAGUUCGGGAGAGGUGAGUGGAAUUCCCAGUGUAGAGGUGAAAUUCGUAGAUAUUGGGAAGAACACCAGUGGCGAAGGCGGCUCACUGGACCGACACUGACGCUGAGGCGCGAAAGCGUGGGGAGCAAACAGGAUUAGAUACCCCAGUAGUCCCUGUCUCUUAUAC
RNAcentral lists this ribosomal RNA (301 nucleotides) under uncultured bacterium. RNAcentral describes it as "partial 16S ribosomal RNA". It matches the Rfam family "Bacterial small subunit ribosomal RNA", at positions 509 to 807 of the family's 1533-position model. The record is from RNAcentral.